Molecule: ribosomal RNA, 477 nt
Filed under: uncultured Acidobacteriota bacterium
Lineage: Bacteria; Pseudomonadati; Acidobacteriota
Description: bacterial SSU rRNA
Rfam family: Bacterial small subunit ribosomal RNA
Source: RNAcentral
GAGGAGCCCGCGCACGAUUAGCUAGUUGGUAGGGUAAUGGCCUACCAAGGCUUUGAUCGUUAGCUGGUCUGAGAGGAUGGCCAGCCACACUGGAACUGAGACACGGUCCAGACUCCUACGGGAGGCAGCAGUGGGGAAUCUUGCACAAUGGGCGAAAGCCUGAUGCAGCGACGCCGCGUGGGGGAUGAAGCAUUUCGGUGUGUAAACCCCUUUCGAUCCGGACGAAUGCCUCGCAAGAGGAGUGACGGUACGGAUAUAAGAAGCCCCGGCUAACUACGUGCCAGCAGCCGCGGUAAGACGUAGGGGGCCAGCGUUGUUCGGAAUUACUGGGUGUAAAGGGUUCGUAGGCGGUGUGGCAAGUUGGGAGUGAAAUCUCUGGGCUCAACCCAGAGGCUGCUUCCAAAACUGCUGUGCUUGAGUGUGAGAGAGGCGCGUGGAAUUGCAGGUGCAGCGGUGAAAUGCGUAGAUAUCUGCAGG